RNAcentral lists this unclassified non-coding RNA (909 nucleotides) under Hevea brasiliensis (rubber tree). Lineage: Eukaryota; Viridiplantae; Streptophyta; Magnoliopsida; Malpighiales; Euphorbiaceae. The record is from RNAcentral.
AAGGAAAUCAAUUUUUUUUUUGUAGGGCAAUCCCAACUUGUGCUGGCAGAUAAUAAUAGAAUGUGAUGCCAUUUAAGAGAAAAGAUCCAAUAGCUUUUGGACGAGAAAAAAUUACUAUAAAAUUGCAAUUGACUUUACAGGUUUUCGUCUAGUUUUCGACUAAACAUGAGGCAUGACACAACACUUCAAAGAUGAUCGGAUGGAGUUAGUAGAAAGUAGAAACAGACUUUCCUCUCUAGAGUUUUAGUAUACCACCUAGAGACAUUUGUUUAGGAAAGCUUCUUAUGAGGUGAGUGAAUGUAAAUGAGACAAUUUCUUCACUAUUACAACUGGCCAGACUUAAUUAUGCGGUCAAUAAAGGACAGUACAAGUUCCUUACCACAAACCAGCUGAGGCAAGAAAAUCUUUAAACCUCCUAGUUGACGUGUGUUUGAUGUUUGCUAGCCAUGAAACAAGCCCCAAUAUCCCAAACAGGAGUCUUAGUUGGAUGUAUCGGAGGCCAAUCUUGAAUCUAAAGAGCACGACUUCUAUGGCAGAAUCAGAUUUAGAGUCGGCCUUCAACGAGAGUCCAUAAAGUGCAUACUCAGCAUAUGCUAGUAACCUGACUCUCAAGGGAGCACCCAACUUGCUCGUCAGAGAUCUUAGGAGCCCAUCAGUCCGCAAUACUGUGAGAAAAUCGGUAGGCAGAGAUUCCAUGAAGGAAGAUAUAUCCUCCAUUUUAAGUGACUUCAGUUCCUGCUUCAGGUUCUUCUUUUCUUCAACAGACAUUCCUUCGCCCAGUGCGGACUUGCUGUCAAUUGUUCUUCCUGUGAAUAUGACAGGGAAGUAUCUCGAGUACUUCCCAACACCAAAAUAUUCUCCUAUCUCCUGGAUUUUGGCUGGGUCCUUAACUACCAAAGCCUCCCAAAG